UACGUAGGCAGCAAGCGUUGUUCGGAGUUACUGGGCGUAAAGAGUGCGUAGGCGGUGCUCCAAGUCCGUUGUGAAAUCUCCCGGCUUAACUGGGAGGGUGCGGUGGAAACUGGGGUGCUUGAGUGUGGGAGAGGUAAGCGGAAUUCCUGGUGUAGCGGUGAAAUGCGUAGAUAUCAGGAGGAACACCGGUGGUGUAGACGGCUUACUGGACCACGACUGACGCUGAGGCACGAAAGCGUGGGUAGCAAACAGG
Molecule: ribosomal RNA, 253 nt
Filed under: uncultured bacterium
Lineage: Bacteria
Description: partial 16S ribosomal RNA
Rfam family: Bacterial small subunit ribosomal RNA
Source: RNAcentral